This is a long non-coding RNA of Lepisosteus oculatus (spotted gar), 933 nucleotides long. RefSeq lists it as uncharacterized. The record is from RefSeq and is a predicted model, not a curated record. NCBI's taxonomy places the organism in Eukaryota, Metazoa, Chordata, Actinopteri, Semionotiformes, Lepisosteidae.
GUCAGCAGGCGUUGGCUGCAAAGGAACAGCUCCAGCGAUCAUUUCCAUACAGUCACCAGUAACAGGAGGAAGACACGAGGAAGGAGGUCUGCAGUUUUCUGCUCCAGUUGUGGGGACCAGUGUGAGGCGAUUGUGAUUGUCCCUUCUGUCUUCAGCUCAGAGACGUGCUCUCCCGGGACGCAGACAGCACAGGCACAGACAGGAGCAGACACCCCAGGAACAGCCCUACCGUUCAGCCAGCAGACGCCCAGCAGCAGAAGAGCGUGGAGCCUCAUGUCUGAGUCCCGUCGUCUCUGCAGCAGGGACUCGCUCGUGCAGUGAAGUGUCUCGAGAGACAACCAGGUUUCUCUUUAAGAUGGCGAAAGGGAAAUGGGUGGUCGUAAGAGACUAUUUCACUCAGAUGUUAACCAAGCAGGAACCAGACACAUGCAAAUGAACCCGUCUCCAGGGCCUGGAUGGUAUUCUACCGAUUCUAUCUGAAGAAACGAGAUGCUGUUCAUGGGCCGCUGGCUCAACUCUUGUAGCAGUCUCUCCAGACAGGGGCCAGAGGCAGGGAUAGAGAAAAGCUCAUGUAGUCCCCAUCCGUCCAAGAAAGGUGAGAAAACAGAGCCGAGUAAUUCAAGACCAGCAGGUCUGUACGUCUGAUGCAUGCGAGGUUAUUGAAACAGUUAAAAUGAGAGGAUCAUCUGUACUGCGAUAGGAGAGACUGUUAUGACUUUAAAAGAUCAACAGGAAUUUAGAAAAGGUAGAUCUUGCUUAUCUUGUUAGAGUGCUUUGAACAAGCUGCAACAGCAGUGAAAACACAGUGACAACGUGAUCUGUUCGAUUUGCACAAGGACCACAACCGUCAUUUAUAUCACCGAUCUAGAUCCAGGUACUGUACAGUUACUAAACUAGUCUUCAGGUGUGAGCACCUGAAGAAGGCUCCACGGC